Molecule: long non-coding RNA, 3848 nt
Organism: Passer domesticus (house sparrow)
Lineage: Eukaryota; Metazoa; Chordata; Aves; Passeriformes; Passeridae
Exons: 2
Source: RefSeq, a predicted model, not a curated record
CACCAGUGAAGGAGUGUAGGGGGAUGCCCCCAAUGAGAGAGGGACAAACUAGCCUUUGUCCCCCAAAAAAGGAAGAAAGCCCAGAAGUUUCUCCCAACGAUCAGGUGAAAAGCCACCUUAUAGGACCCCAGAGACUUCACUAAAACCUUAGGGUCACCUAAUUGGAUGAGAGCCAAAAGAUCCCGCCUGGGCCAUCAGGUAGAAAAAGAGAAGACAAAAAAACUGCGAGGCUUUUGUGAAGGUGUUUUACCAGGAGCAGACCUCUGUACCUGGAUCGGAUUUUCUGUUUAUUGUUUUUCCUUUUAUUAAACAGUUUGGUUUCCAACACUGCAGCAGAAGCCAUCCUGCUCAUUAUUUGCCUCCAAAGGUAAUAGCUGAGCUAUCCUUUGUGUGUAUUAAGUUUUCUUUUAAAGGCUCAUAAAACCCUGGCCCGACGAAACAAAACUUAAUACGUGGCACCUGGACAGAAUUUCUCAUAUUGAGGAAGAUGGUCUAGGAAUUUUUGAUUACCUCAAUCAAAAUAGGACAAUUUUCCUUGGUAUUUGCGUUUUUGGGGAAGCAGGCCUGCACCUGAGUUUUUUGUCGCGUUAAAAAAGAAAACUCAGAAGAAGAGAUUUGGGGUUUAGAGGGAAUCCCAAAUCGAAGCCUCAUACCGGUGAAGAAGAGGCUAUAAUUCAGACGGGACGGGAGCAAACGGCACACCCUCAGAGGAUACUGUGAAUCGGCUAAGCUGAAACUGUUGCACCCAGGACCCGGGAAAAAGUCUAUACCAAGAAGGACGACCAGAAGACUCGAGUCACAGAACAACACAGCUGUCAUCGCUUGGACCAGGCACAUCAGCCGCGGGCGGCCUCAGCUCACCUGUGUCCUGAAGCACCUCGGGCAAGCCAUCACCCUCACUGGCCUGAUAGAUACCGGAGCAGACGUCACUCUGAUAUCGAGAUCGAAAUGGCCACAGGACUGGACCAUCGUGCCUACGCUGGAUCAGCUGGCAGGUAUUGGUGGUCACUGUGAGAGCUUUCGAAGCUCGCACGCAGUCACAUUUGAGGGGCCUGAAGGUCGUGUUGCCACCACAAGACCAUUCAUUGUAGGAGCUGAUAUAGUUCUUUGGGGACGGGACAUUUUAUCACAAUGGCAUCUCAGGUUAGAAACUGGAUUUUAACAAGAUAUCUUAGUAGCAGCAAAGGACCAAGCAUCAAUGCAGGAGACAACAGAUCAGGUCAUCUCAGCAGUAGAGAAAGCAGGACUCACUGUAGCAAAAGAAAAAAUACAGACACUUCCUCCCUGGAAAUAUUUAGGAUACAGGAUCACAGAACAAACGGUAACUCCGCAGCCACUCCAGCUAAGGACAAAUCCAAAGACCUUGAAUGAAGUGCAGCAGCUUGUAGGCACUCUGAACUGGCUUCGUCCACUACUAGGCCUUUCAAAUCAGGACUUGGCUCCUCUGGCAGAUUUGUUAAGAGGAGACACAGCCUUAAACUCACCGCGAGAAUUCAACAAAGAAGCUCAAAAUGCUUUAGAGAAAGUGAUGAGAGCCAUCCAGUCACGUCAGGCUCAUCGGUAUAAUCCUAACCUGUCUUUUUUGUUUGCAGUUUUAGGGGAGAGUCCACAACUUCAUGAUUUGAUAUUCCAGUGGGAUCUAGAGAAGAAGGACCAUCUGAUAAUCUUAGAGUGGGUUUUCCUAUCGCGUCAAUUGGGUAAAACUAUAACAACUUGCCCUGAAAUUAUUUCACAAUUGAUUAUCAAGGCUAGAUCUCGAAUGCUUUCCCUUGCAGGAAGAGAUUUUGCAGAAAUCUUUCUGCCUGUCACAACCAUCUACUUAGAAUGGUUAAUUCAAAAUUCAGAAGUUAUGCAAUUUGCUUUAGAAAAUUUUGCAGGAAAAAUUUCAGUCAAUUGUCCCAAACAUGAGCUAUUAAGUUCAUCUUUAAAAUUAAUUCAUAAGCCUUUAAGAAGUAAUGUACCCCUUGAGGCAAUCACAUUUUUUACAGACGGUUCUGGGAAGUCUAAAAAAUCUGUGAUUGCUUGGCAAAAUUCAGAGACAAAAAAAUGGGAAUCAGAUAUUGAGGAAGUAGAUGGUUCUGCACAGAUUACAGAGUUGGCAGCAGUUGUACGGGUCUUUUCAAAAUUCACAUUUCCUUUUAAUUUAGUAACAGAUUCAAUUUACGUUGCAGGUGUGGUGGAAAGAGCAGAAGGAUCUCUGCUAAAAGAAGUUGCUAAUGAUCAGUUAUAUAGUUUGCUCAAACAGUUAAUCUUACUUCUUUCCAUUCGACAAGAACCUUACUUUGUAAUGCACAUUCGCUCACAUUCUUCUCUUCCAGGUUUCUUAGCAGAGGGAAAUGCCAUGGCUGAUUUGUUAGCCAUGCCAAUCCAGCACACACUUCCUAAUGUUAUUGAACAAGCAAGAAUGAGCCAUGCUUUCUAUCACCAAAAUGCACCUGCUUUAGUAAGAAUGUUUAACAUCUCUCAGAAUCAGGCAAAAGCAAUUGUUCAGUCAUGUCCAAAUUGCCAGAAAUUAGCUAUACCAGCAAUAGCAACAGGAGUUAACCCUCGAGGCUUAAAUAGCCUGCAGAUAUGGCAAACGGACAUCACUCAAUAUCAGUCAUUUGCAAGGUUCAAACAUAUACAUGUAUCAAUAGAUACCUUCUCAGGAGCAAUUUUUGCUUCUGCACAUCAAGGAGAAAAAAGUAGAGAUGUGAUUAAACAUUUCUUACAAGCAUUUGCAUCCCUAGGUAUUCCUCAAGAAGUCAAAACUGACAACGGACCAGCCUACAUUUCUAAUAAAUUGCAAGAGUUUUUCAAAACUUGGGGUAUCAAACAUACCACAGGUAUUCCACAUUCUUCCACAGGCCAGUCUAUUGUAGAAAGAGCACACAGGUCAUUGAAAAUGAUACUAGAAAGACAGAAAGGGGGGACAGAAGUGCUUUCUACAAUAGAGAGGCUGAAUAAAGCUGUAUAUGUUUUUAACUUCUUAAACAAUUCCUUUAUGGAGCAGGUACCACCAAUUUUCAGGCAUUUCAGCAAUACCAGUCAGGCAAAGCUCAAGGAAAGACCACCAGUCUUCAUCAAGGAUCCAGAGACAGGACAGAUUUCAGGACCCCAUCCUCUUGUAACAUGGGGCCGGGGGUUUGCAUGCAUUUCUACAAACACAGGUCUUCGAUGGAUCCCUGCAAAGAAUGUCAAGCCACAAGUGCAGCCGAUCCGAGAGCAGCAGACGGCACCAGAAGAAGAAUGCACAAACAACUGAGCCACGGAUAGAAGCAAAGACUGUUUUCUAAGUUUGCAUUAGUUAAAAUUGUUUACAAGAAAGUUUUGCACUGAAAAAAGUUUUGUAGUUAUUGUUGUGAUAAAAAAGUUGUUAAACCUACCUCUAUGUAAAAGUCACACAUAUAGCCAGAAAUUUGAAGCCUACCUGGAAAAACACUUCACCAAAGUUAAGAUAGAGAAUUGGCAGCAAAAAUUAUUGGCAUUCUAAUCUAUACUCCUUUCUCCUCUUUCUUUCUAAAUGUAUAGUAAAGGGUGAGAUGAAGGAGUGUAGGGGGAUGCCCCCAAUGAGAGAGGGACAAACUAGCCUUUGUCCCCCAAAAAAGGAAGAAAGCCCAGAAGUUUCUCCCAACGAUCAGGUGAAAAGCCACCUUAUAGGACCCCAGAGACUUCACUAAAACCUUAGGGUCACCUAAUUGGAUGAGAGCCAAAAGAUCCCGCCUGGGCCAUCAGGUAGAAAAAGAGAAGACAAAAAAACUGCGAGGCUUUUGUGAAGGUGUUUUACCAGGAGCAGACCUCUGUACCUGGAUCGGAUUUUCUGUUUAUUGUUUUUCCUUUUAUUAAACAGUUUGGUUUCCAACACUGCA